This is a long non-coding RNA of Sorghum bicolor (sorghum), 1194 nucleotides long. RefSeq lists it as uncharacterized. The record is from RefSeq and is a predicted model, not a curated record. NCBI's taxonomy places the organism in Eukaryota, Viridiplantae, Streptophyta, Magnoliopsida, Poales, Poaceae. The transcript has 6 exons.
CAGGCCACAAUGGAAUCACCGACCACAGUACUAGCAAGUAGCAACCUUCGACGACGAGGAGCCAACGCUCCCGGCACCGGCGCCGGCGCCUCUCCAACAGGGAGAGAGAGGCGCAACCGGCUGCUACUACGAGCACCCCACGGCGGCGGGGAGCAGGACAUCUCCUUUGCGCGCGAGUGGCGGCGGACUAGUCCAGUCAACUCUAUCCUUUUUCACAUGAAAGUAGAGAGAUUAUCUGUGUUAGCCAUUUUGUCAAACAUCCGGGAGAGUUCCAACUCUAAGCUAAGAGCAUUGGAUAGCACACUGUUUUCAUUCAAUCAUGACAAGCUGAAAUGAAAUGGUUGUAGAAGGAUGAUGAUAUUUUAUUUGAGAACCAGUUGGUGAAUGGAUCAACCGAUCCUAACCCUGGGCUGAGAAGGUGUUUGCUUUGGUGGGUGACUAACCAAGAAAUACAAGGACGAAUCUUGAAAUUGCCAGGUUGAACUCCCAGAUUAGUGUUGCCGUUGGGCUUCCUGAAUCAUCACUGAGAUGUAGCGAGUUACAACUUCACUGGGAAAAUACGACAUUAAUUUGCAAAAAUCAUUCUUCUUAUGCUAUCUGAAACAUACUUCCAAAUUAGAAAUCAGAUAAGGUACAGAAGCAAUUACAAUAUGGAUGUUCCUUCUAUUCAUUACUGGCAGUGAUACAUUUCAUCUUGGACCAGAUAAGAUUGAUGCCAGUGGUGGAGCUGAAUAUGCUGAUUGAUCAGUUUGAACAGACAAUACUGGAUCUGAACUGAAGAAAUUGUAAUCUAUGGAAGUUUCUACGGUCAUUGUACCUUCAAGUACCUUGACUACCAUUGACAUCAACGGCCUUCGACUGCUAUCAUGUUGCAAGCACCACAUUGCAAGCUUCAUCAUUUGAAUAACUUUAUCCUGAUGGAUGCUUUCCUCAGGCUGAGAAUUAUCGAUAUUUUUUCUUCCACAUAUUACUUCCAUAACAACAACUCCAAAGCUGUAAAUAUCAACUUUUUCGGUGAUUUGCGACGUUAACCAUUCAGGCGCCAGAUACCCAGAAUAUUCUGUGGUUUAAUGUCCAAAUGAGCAAUUUUUCGCCGGCACUCCUCAUGAAGAUAACAUAAGCCCUUGGCAAUAUCCAUAAUGAUCCUACACCUGGUGCUCCAAUCAAGAGGGGCAUUAUUGUGGCGAUAAUAUA